UAGGGAAUCUUCCGCAAUGGACGCAAGUCUGACGGAGCAACGCCGCGUGAGUGAAGAAGGAUUUCGGUUCGUAAAACUCUGUUGUUAGAGAAGAACAGCGCAUAGAGUAACUGUUAUGCGUGUGACGGUAUCUAACCAGAAAGCCACGGCUAACUACGUGCCAGCAGCCGCGGUAAUACGUAGGUGGCAAGCGUUGUCCGGAUUUAUUGGGCGUAAAGCGAGCGCAGGCGGUUAGAUAAGUCUGAAGUUAAAGGCAGUGGCUCAACCAUUGUAGGCUUUGGAGACUGUUUAACUUGAGUGCAGAAGGGGAGAGUGGAAUUCCAUGUGUAGCGGUGAAAUGCGUAGAUAUUAAAAAGAAUACCGGUGGCGAAGGCGACUUACUGGGCUCAUUCUGACGCUGAGGAACGAAAGCGUGGGUAGCAAACAGG
RNAcentral lists this ribosomal RNA (428 nucleotides) under Bacteroidota bacterium. Its description in RNAcentral is "Bacteroidetes bacterium partial 16S ribosomal RNA". It matches the Rfam family "Bacterial small subunit ribosomal RNA", at positions 355 to 776 of the family's 1533-position model. Lineage: Bacteria; Pseudomonadati; Bacteroidota. The record is from RNAcentral.